Molecule: non-coding RNA, 27 nt
Filed under: Bombyx mori (domestic silkworm)
Lineage: Eukaryota; Metazoa; Arthropoda; Insecta; Lepidoptera; Bombycidae
Source: RNAcentral
UAGUUGCUAAAUCAUGGAUUGUGAGAU